This 497-nucleotide ribosomal RNA is filed under the name uncultured bacterium. RNAcentral describes it as "partial 16S ribosomal RNA". It matches the Rfam family "Bacterial small subunit ribosomal RNA", at positions 28 to 507 of the family's 1533-position model. The record is from RNAcentral.
GAUGAACGCUGGCGGCGUGCCUAAUACAUGCAAGUCGAGCGAACGGACGAGAAGCUUGCUUUUCUUAUGUUAGCGGCGGACGGGUGAGUAACACGUGGAUAACCUACCUAUAAGACUGGGAUAACUUCGGGAAACCGGAGCUAAUACCGGAUAAUAUUUUGAACCGCAUGGUUCAAAAGUGAAAGACUGUCUUGCUGUCACUUAUAGAUGGAUCCGCGCUGCAUUAGCUAGUUGGUAAGGUAACGGCUUACCAAGGCAACGAUGCAUAGCCGACCUGAGAGGGUGAUCGGCCAAACUGGAACUGAGACACGGUCCAGAAUCCUACGGGAGGCAGCAGUAGGGAAUCUUCCGAAAUGGGCGAAAGCCUGAAGGAGCAACGCCGCGUGAGUGAUGAAGGUCUUCGGAUCGUAAAACUCUGUUAUUAGGGAAGAACAUAUGUGUAAGUAACUGUGCACAUCUUGACGGUACCUAAUCAGAAAGCCACGGCUAACUACGUG